GGACGAACGCUGGCGGCGUGCUUAACACAUGCAAGUCGUACGGUAAGGCCCUUUCGGGGGUACACGAGUGGCGAACGGGUGAGUAACACGUGAGUAACCUGCCCACAACUUUGGGAUAACGCUAGGAAACUGGCGCUAAUACUGGAUAUGUGCUCCUGCUGCAUGGUGGGGGUUGGAAAGCUCCGGCGGUUGUGGAUGGACUCGCGGCCUAUCAGCUUGUUGGUGGGGUAGUGGCCUACCAAGGCGGCGACGGGUAGCCGGCCUGAGAGGGUGACCGGCCACAUUGGGACUGAGAUACGGCCCAGACUCCUACGGGAGGCAGCAGUGGGGAAUAUUGCACAAUGGGCGCAAGCCUGAUGCAGCAACGCCGCGUGCGGGACGACGGCCUUCGGGUUGUAAACCGCUUUCAGCAGGGACGAAGCUUUUUGUGACGGUACCUGCAGAAGAAGCACCGGCUAACUACGUG
This 466-nucleotide ribosomal RNA is filed under the name uncultured bacterium. RNAcentral describes it as "partial 16S ribosomal RNA". It matches the Rfam family "Bacterial small subunit ribosomal RNA", at positions 27 to 507 of the family's 1533-position model. The record is from RNAcentral.